This 497-nucleotide ribosomal RNA is filed under the name uncultured bacterium. Its description in RNAcentral is "partial 16S ribosomal RNA". It matches the Rfam family "Bacterial small subunit ribosomal RNA", at positions 28 to 507 of the family's 1533-position model. The record is from RNAcentral.
GAUGAACGCUGGCGGCGUGCCUAAUACAUGCAAGUCGAGCGAACAGAUGAGGAGCUUGCUCCUCUGACGUUAGCGGCGGACGGGUGAGUAACACGUGGAUAACCUACCUAUAAGACUGGGAUAACUUCGGGAAACCGGAGCUAAUACCGGAUAAUAUAUUGAACCGCAUGGUUCAAUAGUGAAAGACGGUUUUGCUGUCACUUAUAGAUGGAUCCGCGCCGCAUUAGCUAGUUGGUAAGGUAACGGCUUACCAAGGCAACGAUGCGUAGCCGACCUGAGAGGGUGGUAGCCCGCCCGGGAAGUGAGACGCGGUCAUGGCUCCUGCGGGACGGAGCAGUAGGGAAUCGGCCGCAACGGGCGAGAGUAUGGCAGAGCGACGCCACGUGAGUGGUGACAAUCUUCCGAGCGUGAAACUGUGUUAUUAGGGAAGAACAAAUGUGUACGUAGCUAUGCCCGUCUUGACGGUACCUAAUCAGAAAGCCACGGCUAACUACGUG